GUUUGAUCCUGGCUCAGAGCGAACGUUAGCGGCAGGCUUAACACAUGCAAGUCGAGCGAGAAAGGGGCUUCGGCUCCGAGUAAAAGCGGCGGACGGGUGCGUAACACGUGGAUAAUCUGCCUCGUGGCGGGGGACAACAGUCCGAAAGGACUGCUAAUACCGCAUGUCAGGUCGGAAACUCCGGUUUCUGACGAAAAAGAGGGCGUCCGCAAGGAGCUCUCACCACGAGAUGAGUCCGCGUCCCAUCAGCUAGUUGGCGGUGUAAUGGACCACCAAGGCUUAGACGGGUAGCUGGUCUGAGAGGAUGACCAGCCACACUGGGACUGAGACACGGCCCAGACUCCUACGGGAGCAGCAGUGGGGAAUAUUGGACAAUGGGCGAAAGCCUGAUCCAGCCAUGCCGCGUGAGUGAUGAAGGCC
Molecule: ribosomal RNA, 420 nt
Filed under: uncultured bacterium
Lineage: Bacteria
Description: bacterial SSU rRNA
Rfam family: Bacterial small subunit ribosomal RNA
Source: RNAcentral